CCUGGUCUUGACAUCCACGGAAGUUUUCAGAGAUGAGAAUGUGCCUUCGGGAACCGUGAGACAGGUGCUGCAUGGCUGUCGUCAGCUCGUGUUGUGAAAUGUUGGGUUAAGUCCCGCAACGAGCGCAACCCUUAUCCUUUGUUGCCAGCGGUCCGGCCGGGAACUCAAAGGAGACUGCCAGUGAUAAACUGGAGGAAGGUGGGGAUGACGUCAAGUCAUCAUGGCCCUUACGACCAGGGCUACACACGUGCUACAAUGGCGCAUACAAAGAGAAGCGACCUCGCGAGAGCAAGCGGACCUCAUAAAGUGCGUCGUAGUCCGGAUUGGAGUCUGCAACUCGACUCCAUGAAGUCGGAAUCGCUAGUAAUCGUGGAUCAGAAUGCCACGGUGAAUACGUUCCCGGGCCUUGUACACACCGCCCGUCACACCAUGGGAGUGGGUUGCAAAAGAAGUAGGUAGCUUAACCUUCGGGAGGGCGCUUACCACUUUGUGAUUCAUGACUGGGGUGAAGUCGUAACAAGGUAACCGUAGGGGAACCUGCGGUUGGAUCACCUCCUUACCUUAAAGAAGC
This 571-nucleotide ribosomal RNA is filed under the name Escherichia coli. RNAcentral's name for it is "bacterial SSU rRNA". It matches the Rfam family "Bacterial small subunit ribosomal RNA", at positions 974 to 1533 of the family's 1533-position model. Lineage: Bacteria; Pseudomonadati; Pseudomonadota; Gammaproteobacteria; Enterobacterales; Enterobacteriaceae. The record is from RNAcentral.